RNAcentral lists this ribosomal RNA (1310 nucleotides) under Caenorhabditis japonica. Its description in RNAcentral is "SSU rRNA". It matches the Rfam family "Eukaryotic small subunit ribosomal RNA", at positions 3 to 1363 of the family's 1831-position model. Lineage: Eukaryota; Metazoa; Nematoda; Chromadorea; Rhabditida; Rhabditidae. The record is from RNAcentral.
CCUGAUUGAUUCUGUCAGCGCGAUAUGCUCAAGUAAAAGAUUAAGCCAUGCAUGCUUUGAUUCAUAAAUGAAAUUGCGUACGGCUCAUUAGAGCAGAUAUCACCUUUCUCGGAAUCCUGAAAAGGAUAACUGCGGAAAUUCUGGAGCUAAUACAUGCGACUAUACUCCAACGCAAGGCGGGGUGCAAUUAUUAGAACAGACCAAACGUUUUCGGACGUUGUUUGUUGACUCUGAAUACCGUCGUUUACUGUCAGUUUCGACUGACUCUAUCCGAGAAGGGUGUCUGCCCUUUCAACUAGAUGGUAAUCUAUUGGACUACCAUGGUUGUUACGGGUAACGGAGAAUUAGGGUUCGACUCCGGAGAGGGAGCCUUAGAAACGGCUACCACGUCCAAGGAAGGCAGCAGGCGCGAAACUUAUCCACUGUUGAGUAUGAGAUAGUGACUAAAAAUAUAAAGACUCAUCCUUUUGGAUGAGUUAUUUCAAUGAGUUGAAUAUAAAUUAUUCUUCGAGUAGCAAGGAGAGGGCAAGUCUGGUGCCAGCAGCCGCGGUAAUUCCAGCUCUCCUAGUGUAUCUCGUUAUUGCUGCGGUUAAAAAGCUCGUAGUUGGAUCUAGGUUACGUGCCGCAGUUCGCAAUUUGCGUUAACUGUGGUCGUGACUUCUAAUUUGCUGGUUUGAGGUUGGGUUCGCCCUUCAACUGCCAGCAGGUUUACCUUGAAUAAAUCAGAGUGCUCAAUACAGGCGCUUGCUUGAAUAGCUCAUCAUGGAAUAAUGAAACAGGACUUCGGUUCUUUUUGUUGGUUCUAGAAUUGAUCUAAUGGUUAAGAGGGACAAACCGGGGGCAUUCGUAUCAUUACGCGAGAGGUGAAAUUCGUGGACCGUAGUGAGACGCCCAAUAGCGAAAGCAUUUGCCAAGAAUGUCUUCAUUAAUCAAGAACGAAAGUCAGAGGUUCGAAGGCGAUUAGAUACCGCCCUAGUUCUGACCGUAAACGAUGCCAUCUCGCGAUUCGGAGGGUUCAUGCCCUACCGAGGAGCUACCCGGAAACGAAAGUCUUUCGGUUCCGGGGGUAGUAUGGUUGCAAAGCUGAAACUUAAAGAAAUUGACGGAAGGGCACCACAAGGCGUGGAGCUUGCGGCUUAAUUUGACUCAACACGGGAAAACUCACCCGGUCCGGACACUAUUAGGACUGACAGAUUGAAAGCUCUUUCUCGAUUUGGUGGUUGGUGGUGCAUGGCCGUUCUUAGUUGGUGGAGUGAUUUGUCUGGUUUAUUCCGAUAACGAGCGAGACUCUAGCCUGCUAAAUAGUCGAC